CUCUUCCUAAACAUGUAACGUUCGAAACAUCAACUCUCAGGUGAAACAAUUAAAGGCAACUUGGGUUCCUUCGCGUCCGGAAUCCUUUUGACAUGGACUUCCCCUGUAUUACCCAAACUCAAUAACGCGACCAACGUCGAU
Molecule: unclassified non-coding RNA, 141 nt
Filed under: Agrilus planipennis (emerald ash borer)
Lineage: Eukaryota; Metazoa; Arthropoda; Insecta; Coleoptera; Buprestidae
Description: facilitated trehalose transporter Tret1-like, transcript variant X4
Source: RNAcentral